UGUCUUGUAUUGGAUGAUGUGUGAAUUUAAACGCUCUUCCAGAGUAUCAAUUGGAGGGCAAGUCUGGUGCCAGCAGCCGCGGUAAUUCCAGCUCCAAUAGCGUAUAUUAAAAUUGUUGCAGUUAAAAAGCUCGUAGUUGAAUUUCUGCUGCAUUACAUAUCUCUUGUUUGAGUUUGUUUUUGUGCCUUAUUUCGGUUUGAUUUUAUCUUUCCGGAUGAUUACUUUGAGAAAAUUAGAGUGCUCAAAGCAGGCUUUUGCCUUGAAUAGUUUAGCAUGGAAUAAUAAAGUAGGACUUUGGUUCUAUUUUGUUGGUUUUAGGUACCAAAGUAAUGGAUAAUAGG
Molecule: ribosomal RNA, 341 nt
Filed under: Theileria orientalis
Lineage: Eukaryota; Apicomplexa; Aconoidasida; Piroplasmida; Theileriidae
Description: SSU rRNA
Rfam family: Eukaryotic small subunit ribosomal RNA
Source: RNAcentral